GGUCGCGUAGCUCAGCUGGAUAGAGCACCUGCCUUCUAAGCAGGCGGUCCUAGGUUCGAAUCCUAGCGCGAUCACCA
Molecule: transfer RNA, 77 nt
Filed under: Crocinitomicaceae bacterium
Lineage: Bacteria; Pseudomonadati; Bacteroidota; Flavobacteriia; Flavobacteriales; Crocinitomicaceae
Description: tRNA-Arg
Rfam family: tRNA
About the family: Transfer RNA (tRNA) molecules are approximately 80 nucleotides in length. Their secondary structure includes four short double-helical elements and three loops (D, anti-codon, and T loops).
Source: RNAcentral